CAAAAAAUUUUUUUUUUUGGGGGUUUUUUUUUUUUUUAAAAAAAAAUUUUUUUAAAAAAAUUUUCUUUUUUUUUAAAAAAAAAGGAAACCCACCCCCGGGGGUUUUUUUUGGGGGGGGGGCCCCUUUUUUUGGAAAAAAAACCCCUUUUUUUUGGGUUUUUUUCCCCCGGGGGGGGCCCCCGGGGGGGGGGGGGAAACGGGGGUUUUCCCCCCCCCCCAAAAAAAAAUUU
Non-coding RNA from Cherax quadricarinatus, 230 nucleotides. The record is from RefSeq and is a predicted model, not a curated record. Lineage: Eukaryota; Metazoa; Arthropoda; Malacostraca; Decapoda; Parastacidae.